Molecule: transfer RNA, 71 nt
Filed under: Terriglobia bacterium
Lineage: Bacteria; Pseudomonadati; Acidobacteriota; Terriglobia
Description: tRNA-Glu
Source: RNAcentral
GUCCUUCAAAGUCGUGUAUGAGCCGUUCUUUCACGGCGGUAACACGGGUUCAAAUCCCGUCGGGGACGCCA